GUUAAGCGACUAAGCGUACACGGUGGAUGCCCUGGCAGUCAGAGGCGAUGAAGGACGUGCUAAUCUGCGAUAAGCGUCGGUAAGGUGAUAUGAACCGUUAUAACCGGCGAUUUCCGAAUGGGGAAACCCAGUGUGAUUCGUCACACUAUCAUUAACUGAAUCCAUAGGUUAAUGAGGCGAACCGGGGGAACUGAAACAUCUAAGUACCCCGAGGAAAAGAAAUCAACCGAGAUUCCCCCAGUAGCGGCGAGCGAACGGGGAGCAGCCCAGAGCCUGAAUCAGUGUGUGUGUUAGUGGAAGCGUCUGGAAAGGCGCGCGAUACAGGGUGACAGCCCCGUACACAAAAAUGCACAUGCUGUGAGCUCGAUGAGUAGGGCGGGACACGUGGUAUCCUGUCUGAAUAUGGGGGGACCAUCCUCCAAGGCUAAAUACUCCUGACUGACCGAUAGUGAACCAGUACCGUGAGGGAAAGGCGAAAAGAACCCCGGCGAGGGGAGUGAAAAAGAACCUGAAACCGUGUACGUACAAGCAGUGGGAGCACGCUUAGGCGUGUGACUGCGUACCUUUUGUAUAAUGGGUCAGCGACUUAUAUUCUGUAGCAAGGUUAACCGAAUAGGGGAGCCGAAGGGAAACCGAGUCUUAACUGGGCGUUAAGUUGCAGGGUAUAGACCCGAAACCCGGUGAUCUAGCCAUGGGCAGGUUGAAGGUUGGGUAACACUAACUGGAGGACCGAACCGACUAAUGUUGAAAAAUUAGCGGAUGACUUGUGGCUGGGGGUGAAAGGCCAAUCAAACCGGGAGAUAGCUGGUUCUCCCCGAAAGCUAUUUAGGUAGCGCCUCGUGAAUUCAUCUCCGGGGGUAGAGCACUGUUUCGGCAAGGGGGUCAUCCCGACUUACCAACCCGAUGCAAACUGCGAAUACCGGAGAAUGUUAUCACGGGAGACACACGGCGGGUGCUAACGUCCGUCGUGAAGAGGGAAACAACCCAGACCGCCAGCUAAGGUCCCAAAGUCAUGGUUAAGUGGGAAACGAUGUGGGAAGGCCCAGACAGCCAGGAUGUUGGCUUAGAAGCAGCCAUCAUUUAAAGAAAGCGUAAUAGCUCACUGGUCGAGUCGGCCUGCGCGGAAGAUGUAACGGGGCUAAACCAUGCACCGAAGCUGCGGCAGCGACACUGUGUGUUGUUGGGUAGGGGAGCGUUCUGUAAGCCUGCGAAGGUGUGCUGUGAGGCAUGCUGGAGGUAUCAGAAGUGCGAAUGCUGACAUAAGUAACGAUAAAGCGGGUGAAAAGCCCGCUCGCCGGAAGACCAAGGGUUCCUGUCCAACGUUAAUCGGGGCAGGGUGAGUCGACCCCUAAGGCGAGGCCGAAAGGCGUAGUCGAUGGGAAACAGGUUAAUAUUCCUGUACUUGGUGUUACUGCGAAGGGGGGACGGAGAAGGCUAUGUUGGCCGGGCGACGGUUGUCCCGGUUUAAGCGUGUAGGCUGGUUUUCCAGGCAAAUCCGGAAAAUCAAGGCUGAGGCGUGAUGACGAGGCACUACGGUGCUGAAGCAACAAAUGCCCUGCUUCCAGGAAAAGCCUCUAAGCAUCAGGUAACAUCAAAUCGUACCCCAAACCGACACAGGUGGUCAGGUAGAGAAUACCAAGGCGCUUGAGAGAACUCGGGUGAAGGAACUAGGCAAAAUGGUGCCGUAACUUCGGGAGAAGGCACGCUGAUACGUAGGUGAAGUCCCUCGCGGAUGGAGCUGAAAUCAGUCGAAGAUACCAGCUGGCUGCAACUGUUUAUUAAAAACACAGCACUGUGCAAACACGAAAGUGGACGUAUACGGUGUGACGCCUGCCCGGUGCCGGAAGGUUAAUUGAUGGGGUCAGCGCAAGCGAAGCUCUUGAUCGAAGCCCCGGUAAACGGCGGCCGUAACUAUAACGGUCCUAAGGUAGCGAAAUUCCUUGUCGGGUAAGUUCCGACCUGCACGAAUGGCGUAAUGAUGGCCAGGCUGUCUCCACCCGAGACUCAGUGAAAUUGAACUCGCUGUGAAGAUGCAGUGUACCCGCGGCAAGACGGAAAGACCCCGUGAACCUUUACUAUAGCUUGACACUGAACAUUGAGCCUUGAUGUGUAGGAUAGGUGGGAGGCUUUGAAGUGUGGACGCCAGUCUGCAUGGAGCCGACCUUGAAAUACCACCCUUUAAUGUUUGAUGUUCUAACGUUGACCCGUGAUCCGGGUUGCGGACAGUGUCUGGUGGGUAGUUUGACUGGGGCGGUCUCCUCCUAAAGAGUAACGGAGGAGCACGAAGGUUGGCUAAUCCUGGUCGGACAUCAGGAGGUUAGUGCAAUGGCAUAAGCCAGCUUGACUGCGAGCGUGACGGCGCGAGCAGGUGCGAAAGCAGGUCAUAGUGAUCCGGUGGUUCUGAAUGGAAGGGCCAUCGCUCAACGGAUAAAAGGUACUCCGGGGAUAACAGGCUGAUACCGCCCAAGAGUUCAUAUCGACGGCGGUGUUUGGCACCUCGAUGUCGGCUCAUCACAUCCUGGGGCUGAAGUAGGUCCCAAGGGUAUGGCUGUUCGCCAUUUAAAGUGGUACGCGAGCUGGGUUUAGAACGUCGUGAGACAGUUCGGUCCCUA
Molecule: ribosomal RNA, 2612 nt
Filed under: Escherichia coli
Lineage: Bacteria; Pseudomonadati; Pseudomonadota; Gammaproteobacteria; Enterobacterales; Enterobacteriaceae
Description: partial 23S ribosomal RNA
Rfam family: Bacterial large subunit ribosomal RNA
Source: RNAcentral